CUUGCUUCUCUUGAGAGCGGCGGACGGGUGAGUAAUGCCUAGGAAUCUGCCUGGUAGUGGGGGAUAACGUUCGGAAACGGACGCUAAUACCGCAUACGUCCUACGGGAGAAAGCAGGGGACCUUCGGGCCUUGCGCUAUCAGAUGAGCCUAGGUCGGAUUAGCUAGUUGGUGGGGUAAUGGCUCACCAAGGCGACGAUCCGUAACUGGUCUGAGAGGAUGAUCAGUCACACUGGAACUGAGACACGGUCCAGACUCCUACGGGAGGCAGCAGUGGGGAAUAUUGGACAAUGGGCGAAAGCCUGAUCCAGCCAUGCCGCGUGUGUGAAGAAGGUCUUCGGAUUGUAAAGCACUUUAAGUUGGGAGGAAGGGUUGUAGAUUAAUACUCUGCAAUUUUGACGUUACCGACAGAAUAAGCACCGGCUAACUCUGUGCCAGCAGCCGCGGUAAUACAGAGGGUGCAAGCGUUAAUCGGAAUUACUGGGCGUAAAGCGCGCGUAGGUGGUUUGUUAAGUUGGAUGUGAAAUCCCCGGGCUCAACCUGGGAACUGCAUUCAAAACUGACUGACUAGAGUAUGGUAGAGGGUGGUGGAAUUUCCUGUGUAGCGGUGAAAUGCGUAGAUAUAGGAAGGAACACCAGUGGCGAAGGCGACCACCUGGACUAAUACUGACACUGAGGUGCGAAAGCGUGGGGAGCAAACAGGAUUAGAUACCCUGGUAGUCCACGCCGUAAACGAUGUCAACUAGCCGUUGGAAGCCCUUGAGCUUUUAGUGGCGCAGCUAACGCAUUAAGUUGACCGCCUGGGGAGUACGGCCGCAAGGUUAA
This 823-nucleotide ribosomal RNA is filed under the name uncultured bacterium. RNAcentral's name for it is "bacterial SSU rRNA". It matches the Rfam family "Bacterial small subunit ribosomal RNA", at positions 79 to 897 of the family's 1533-position model. The record is from RNAcentral.